Molecule: ribosomal RNA, 445 nt
Filed under: uncultured bacterium
Lineage: Bacteria
Description: partial 16S ribosomal RNA
Rfam family: Bacterial small subunit ribosomal RNA
Source: RNAcentral
GUAAGGAAUAUUGGACAAUGGACGCAAGUCUGAUCCAGCCAUGCCGCGUGAAGGAUUAAGGUCCUCUGGAUUGUAAACUUCUUUUAUACGGGACGAAAAAAGGCUUUUCUAAGUCGUCUGACGGUACCUUAUGAAUAAGCACCGGCUAACUCCGUGCCAGCAGCCGCGGUAAUACGGAGGGUGCAAGCGUUAUCCGGAUUCACUGGGUUUAAAGGGUGCGUAGGCGGGCAGGUAAGUCAGUGGUGAAAUCCUAGAGCUUAACUCUAGAACUGCCAUUGAUACUAUCUGUCUUGAAUAUUGUGGAGGUAAGCGGAAUAUGUCAUGUAGCGGUGAAAUGCUUAGAUAUGACAUAGAACACCUAUUGCGAAGGCAGCUUACUACGCAUAUAUUGACGCUGAGGCACGAAAGCGUGGGGAUCAAACAGGAUUAGAUACCCGGGUAGUCC